Long non-coding RNA from Hemicordylus capensis (graceful crag lizard), 236 nucleotides. RefSeq lists it as uncharacterized. The record is from RefSeq and is a predicted model, not a curated record. The transcript has 3 exons. Lineage: Eukaryota; Metazoa; Chordata; Lepidosauria; Squamata; Cordylidae.
GAGCUCUUCUCCCCACUGUGUGCAGAGGAAAAGGAGCCAGGGAAGACUCAUAUCAAGCAGCUAAAACUGAUUCAGUUUGGAUCAGCCUAGCUCCAGGAUCUCUCUCAGUCCUACUAGAUCUCCAGCACAGCAGGAGAUUAGCCCUUAGGCUACCACACAAGAAGAAUCUAUCUCUGGAGGAGCAUCUCUUAAAAGAACUACUACAAGGUGUUGAGCGGAUUAUGACUGAGGCCUGC